UGGGGAAUAUUGCACAAUGGGGGAAACCCUGAUGCAGCGACGCCGCGUGAGCGAAGAAGGCUUUCGAGUCGUAAAGCUCUGUCCUAUGAGAAGAUAAUGACGGUAUCAUAGGAGGAAGCCCUGGCUAAAUACGUGCCAGCAGCCGCGGUAAUACGUAUGGGGCGAGCGUUGUCCGGAAUUAUUGGGCGUAAAGGGUACGUAGGCGGUUUUUUAAGUCAGGUGUCAAAGCGUGGAGCUUAACUCCAUUAAGCACUUGAAACUGAAAGACUGGAGUGAAGGAGAGGAAAGUGGAAUUCCUAGUGUAGCGGUGAAAUGCGUAGAUAUUAGGAGGAAUACCGGUGGCGAAGGCGACUUUCUGGACUUUUACUGACGCUCAGGUACGAAAGCGUGGGGAGCAAACAGG
Molecule: ribosomal RNA, 403 nt
Filed under: Verrucomicrobiota bacterium
Lineage: Bacteria; Pseudomonadati; Verrucomicrobiota
Description: Verrucomicrobia bacterium partial 16S ribosomal RNA
Rfam family: Bacterial small subunit ribosomal RNA
Source: RNAcentral